GUUUAUCUCUCUAUCCCUGUUUUGUCUUGUUUGCCGGCUUACUGACUACUGUGUACCAGACCUUGGCUAGUUUUUGUUCUUGCAGUCUCUUUGUUCCCUUGACCUCGGCUUGUUCUUGACUCUGUCUAUUCUCUGCUAGACGGCGAGUCCGGCCAUUCUAAGGUCCGGUAAGUCGUAUCUGCUCUAUCUGUCGAUUGUUGGACUAAAUCUUGCGUGUUGGGGUAAACUACCGUGACAUUAC
Pelobates cultripes (western spadefoot toad) is the source of this 241-nucleotide non-coding RNA. The record is from the annotation of a GenBank genome assembly. NCBI's taxonomy places the organism in Eukaryota, Metazoa, Chordata, Amphibia, Anura, Pelobatidae.